AGGUGGGCUUUAGUGGAACCAUGC
Molecule: non-coding RNA, 24 nt
Filed under: Arabidopsis thaliana (thale cress)
Lineage: Eukaryota; Viridiplantae; Streptophyta; Magnoliopsida; Brassicales; Brassicaceae
Source: RNAcentral